Molecule: ribosomal RNA, 261 nt
Filed under: uncultured archaeon
Lineage: Archaea
Description: partial 16S ribosomal RNA
Rfam family: Archaeal small subunit ribosomal RNA
Source: RNAcentral
CACUGACAUUAGAUACCCGCGUAGUCCUAGCCGUAAACGAUACUCGCUAGGUGUCGGCCACGGUGCGACCGUUGUCGGUGCCGUAGGGAAGCCGUGAAGCGAGCCACCUGGGAAGUACGGCCGCAAGGCUGAACUUAAAGGAAUUGGCGGGGGAGCACCACAACGGGUGGAGCCUGCGGUUUAAUCGGACUCAACGCCGGGAAUCUCACCGGGACCGACAGCAACAUGAAGGCCAAGCUGAAGACUUUGCCGGAUUAGCUG